RNAcentral lists this non-coding RNA (161 nucleotides) under Hyaloscypha hepaticicola. RNAcentral also lists the same sequence under 1 other name. The record is from RNAcentral. Lineage: Eukaryota; Fungi; Ascomycota; Leotiomycetes; Helotiales; Hyaloscyphaceae.
AAGAAUGCCCCGUUUUUUGAAAUGGGUUCUAUUCCCAAACCGUGUAUACAUACCUUUGUUGCUUUGGCAGGCCGCCUUCGGGCGUCGGCUCACGCUGACCGCGCCUGCCAGAGGACCCAAACUCGUUUGUUUAGUGAUGUCUGAGUACUAUAUAAUAGUUA